AUAGAACAGGACCUCAAGGUUUAGGUCGUCCUCCUAUUGGAAAUACAUGUUGACCACGAAUGCUUCCGCAUACCCAACUGGACUUGCACCAGUCACUGCCACAAAAAGAUCAAGCUCUGUGCUUCAACCUGGUGCCAGAUGAAUGCACCACUGGGAGAAUCGGAAUUUCCAGCUUGAUUCCCUUCACGUCCAUGCAAUCAUAAAGGCUUCACUUUUCUGUUUUUUCUUUUCGUUCUUAAUAAUCACAAAGAUUCUGACAUGCAUCUUUUGGUUUCUUGGUUUCUUUGCAUACUGAUUUAUUCAUCCAACCCUCAAAUUACGAGAAAAACAGCCCAUUUGUGUGGUAUCUUGCCAUGAGAACUAUGAUAGCUUCAUGUGGACGGUUGACACUCCACCCAGUAUGUUACAAGGCUAAAGGAUCUUGUUUGGUUGGGGAGAAAGUGUAGGGAAAUGGAAGGAACCAAAAUCUUUGAACACUGCAUGGUCUCAAAUUUUGGGGUUCUUCAAGAAUAAGAUAACUUGUCUGGUUCUGUUUUUUCUUGGUUUUGUAUGGAACCAAAUAGAGGAGUGAGAAAAUUGCUGUUCUCAGUAAUGUUCUUGUUUGAUUUUUGAUGUUCUUCCACUUCUUUGUACAGGGAAAGCUAGAUGGUUUGAAACGUAAAUGCAUGUGAUCAGAAUUAAAAAGAUUAUUAAAAAAGAAAAGAAAAAACAAGAAGAGUAAAGAUUGUUCUUCUUAUAGGUUAAUGGACGUGAAGAUCAUCAAGUUGGAAAUUUGCGAUUCACCCGGUUUUCAAUGGCCAUAUAUUCAUCCGAAACCGUGUUGCAAUGAGGGUCGACUUCAAUGCAUGAAGGAGCUAGCGGCAAAGUACGAAAGGGAGGUGGCCAUGAGCUCAAAAACAACAUAGCCAAUCCGGUAGUACAAGUCCUGGUGCAACGCCACUGUACCAGACUACCAGGUCUUCCACCAGCACCUCCAUCUAUUCAUCCUCCUUAUCCUAUUAUUGGUAUGUCUAAACCUGCAGCAACACCAUACACUGGGGGAAAGCCACCACCGUAUUAUCCUCCUUUUCUGUGUAGGAAAACAAUUCCUCAUUUCGUUUAGGCUUAUCCGGUUCACAUAAAGCUUGAGGGAAGAUAUAUUUUUAUAUUCUACAUCAAACUUAUUUCA
Molecule: long non-coding RNA, 1168 nt
Organism: Vitis vinifera (wine grape)
Lineage: Eukaryota; Viridiplantae; Streptophyta; Magnoliopsida; Vitales; Vitaceae
Exons: 2
Source: RefSeq, a predicted model, not a curated record